This 827-nucleotide ribosomal RNA is filed under the name uncultured bacterium. RNAcentral's name for it is "bacterial SSU rRNA". It matches the Rfam family "Bacterial small subunit ribosomal RNA", at positions 1 to 779 of the family's 1533-position model. The record is from RNAcentral.
AGAGUUUGAUCAUGGCACCAUACUCAAAUGAAUUGACGAGAGUUUGAUCCUGGCUCAGAACGAACGUUAGCGGCGCGCUUAACACAUGCAAGUCGUGCGAGAAAGGGGCAACCCCGGUAAAGCGGCGCACGGGUGAGUAACACGUAGGUAAUUUACCCCCAGGUGGUGGAUAACCUUCCGAAAGGAGGGCUAAUACAGCAUGAGACCACGAUCCCGCAAGGGAUUGGGGUCAAAGCCGGCCUCUUCAUGAAAGCUGGCGCCAGGGGAUGAGCCUGCGGCCCAUCAGCUAGUUGGUAGGGUAACGGCCUACCAAGGCGAAGACGGGUAGCUGGUCUGAGAGGAUGAUCAGCCACACUGGAACUGAGACACGGCCCAGACUCCUACGGGAGGCAGCAGUGGGGAAUCUUGCGCAAUGGGCGAAAGCCUGACGCAGCGACGCCGCGUGAGUGAUGAAGGCCUUCGGGUUGUAAAGCUCUGUGGAGGGGGACGAAUAAGUCGUGGCCAACAUCCACGAUGAUGACGGUACCUCUUUAGCAAGCACCGGCUAACUCUGUGCCAGCAGCCGCGGUAAGACAGAGGGUGCAAACGUUGUUCGGAAUUACUGGGCGUAAAGCGCGUGUAGGCUGCUCUGCAAGUCGGAUGUGAAAGCCCUGGGCUCAACCUAGGAAGUGCAUUCGAAACUGCAAAGCUUGAGUCCUGGAGAGGAAGGCGGAAUUCUCGGUGUAGAGGUGAAAUUCGUAGAUAUCGAGAGGAACACCGGUGGCGAAGGCGGCCUUCUGGACAGUGACUGACGCUGAGACGCGAAAGCGUGGGGAGCAAACAGGAUU